ACGGCUGAGUGAUAGCUGUUUCCUGAUCGUACUUGACUCCUGACUUUGAUCAUGGUUCAGGAUGAACGCUAGCUACGGGCUUAACACAAUGCAAGUCGAGGGGAAACGACAUCGAAAGCUUGCUUUUGAUGGGCGUCGACCGGCGCACGGGUGGAGUAACGCGUAUCCAACCUGCCCACCACUUGGGGAUAACCUUGCGAAAGUAAGACUAAUACCCAAUGAUAUCUCUAGAAGACAUCUGAAAGAGAUUAAAGAUUUAUCGGUGAUGGAUGGGGAUGCGUCUGAUUAGCUUGUUGGCGGGGUAACGGCCCACCAAGGCAACGAUCAGUAGGGGUUCUGAGAGGAAGGUCCCCCACAUUGGAACUGAGACACGGUCCAAACUCCUACGGGAGGCAGCAGUGAGGAAUAUUGGUCAAUGGACGAGAGUCUGAACCAGCCAAGUAGCGUGCAGGGUGACGGCCCUAUGGGUUGUAAACUGAUUUUAUAAGGGAAUAAAGUGAGUCUCGUGAGACUUUUUGCAUGUACCUUAUGAAUAAGGACCGGCUAAUUCCGUGCCAGCAGCCGCGGUAAUACGGAAGGUCCGGGCGUUAUCCGGAUUUAUUGGGUUUAAAGGGAGCGUAGGCCGGAGAUUAAGCGUGUUGUGAAAUGUAGACGCUCAACGUCUGCACUGCAGCGCGAACUGGUUUCCUUGAGUACGCACAAAGUGGGCGGAAUUCGUGGUGUAGCGGUGAAAUGCUUAGAUAUCACGAAGAACUCCGAUUGCGAAGGCAGCUCACUGGAGCGCAACUGACGCUGAAGCUCGAAAGUGCGGGUAUCGAACAGGAUUAGAUACCCUGGUAGUCCGCACGGUAACCGAUGGAUGCCCGCUGUUGGGUCUGAAUAGGUCAGCGGCCAAGCGAAAGCAUUAAGCAUCCCACCUGGGGGAGUACGCCGGCAACGGUGAAACUCUAAUGAAUGACCCCAGUGCGAAUUCGUCCCUGAAAGGUCUGGCCGUU
Molecule: ribosomal RNA, 995 nt
Filed under: uncultured bacterium
Lineage: Bacteria
Description: bacterial SSU rRNA
Rfam family: Bacterial small subunit ribosomal RNA
Source: RNAcentral